GAUAAUACAAUGUGGUGUCAUUAUGUCAACAUACAUGUUGUCGAGUCUAAUGAAAAAUGUUUUAGCACAAGAAAGGUGAUGGUAGGUUAGCUACACCUAAAUAAAAGCAAAAUACAACAUUUUGUGAAAUUAUUUUGGGCAUGACUUGGUAUGUGACAUGAAUAAUACAAUAACGAGAUAACUAAAUAAUUGUUAGUGGAAAUAGCUAAAGUGCUUUUUUUUUAAAAGACUUUUUCUAGAAUUAACCGCUCAGGCCCUCUUCCCCAAACUUCCCCGAAAUGUUUGAAUUUUGCAUUUGACAUUCAACAUCUACUUUCUCCUUCCCAAAAUAGCUAUGUUCUCUUCCAAUCCGCCGAACCUACGCCGGCCUCCACCGGGUCUCAGGCCCCAAUGCUCGUCAAAAUCUCUUUCUCCAAGGUUGAGAAAGUAAAAUAACCUGAAACAAGAAAGUUUCUUAUGAGCUGACCUUAGCUAAGACUUAGAAAGAUAGCUAUAUUCAGCUCUAUUCUUGCGUGCAACCUCAAGGAAUCCUCUGCACCUGUAAAAACCAAAAGCCCUGGGCUCAAGACGAAAAGAUCUCUCAAUCAAUCUUACCUCAAGUUCACGAGUAUACCGAAGACUUCUCCCUCGAGGGAUGCUUUUGAGAUUCUAUAAGUCAUAUUUCUGCCUCUAGCCUUGUGCUAAGUCGUAUCUCAUCAGCUACAUUCUCAAACCAGAAUCUCUUUCUCAACACUCAGAUCUAUUAACCAUGGAGAACACAAAGAAUCUCGCUAACAGGAAUCACGAAGAAGAUGAAGAAGAGAUCAUCGACUUACCUCACGUGGACAACUCUCAACUCAUUGCCCGUUUCAACCUAAGUCUGGUUGGACGCAUGUUCAACCAAGAUAUCCGUAGCACAGAAGCCCUCAUCGCCUUCAUGCCUCGACAGAACAUCUGGGACGUCAAAGGCAGGGUGCACGGGAUAGACCUUGGAAACUCUCGAUUCCAGUUCGACUUCGACUCAGAAGCGGAUCUCCAGCGGGUGCUCAGCAAACGCCCCUGUCAUUUUAAUCGCUGGUCUUUCUCCUUGGAACGCUGGAUCCCUCAUGUUUGGGAGUCUUUUCCCAACAAUAUGACCUUCUGGGUGCGAAUCUCAGGGAUCCCUACUCACUUCUGGAUGGAAGAAAAUUUCCGAGCCAUUGGAAAUCGUCUUGGGGAUGUAAGAGCGGUUGAUGCACGAGCUGCAAGGAUCCAGAUUUCUUUGAAUGCAGAUGAGCCUCUGAGAUUCAAUGCAAGGGCAAGGCUUCAAUCUGGAGAAGUGGUUAGAGUAGAGAUGAAGUAUAAAAAACUCGAUCGAUGGUGUCUCACCUGCAGACACAUCUCUCACGACGAGAGAACUUGCCUUUUGCUCACUGAAGAUCAAAGACGUGAGAAGAUGAGGGAAAGAGAGGCUGAGAGGAACUUAGCUCGAGCAUCGAGAGAUGACCUGAUUCGCGACAGAGACGUCUUGCAAAUGAGAAGACAGGCAGGCCAGAUCUCGUUACCUCUCCGUGACAGAACCACCCUCCCUUUGCAGGAUGAAACCCGCAAGCUCUCGACAAAGGCCAAAGAUGAAAGCUCCAAACCUCCGAAGGAUAAGAAAAGAAAUCAAAUCCUCGAUGAAAGGCGCCCUUCUGACAGAAGACCCGAUAGCGUCUGGAACAGAAUCGAAUCAAGCGCUGGUUACCGAACUGAAGCAAGAAGGUAUGAAAGAAAACAUGAAACUGCAGAUGGAAGCCACCCGAAUGCCAGAGAUGACUCAAGAGAUGAGGAACCUGGAUACCGAAAGCGACGAUACGAAGAAUCCUUCGCAGCAAGCAAGAAACAGAUGGGGAAGAACAAACCAAAAGACCUACCUGGGAAGGAUCUUUCCUCUGCUAAACCUUCACUGGCGAGACUCUCAGCAAUGCCAACCAAGUCUUCUGACUCUCAGAGGACUAUCUCGGAUCCUCCAGCCAAAGCUAAACAGGGUGUCUCUUCCCCGGAGCACAUGCAUAGCAGACCAUUCCACCUCUCCCUUACCAGUAAGACAUCAAAUCUGGGGAAAGGGAAGAUGUAUGAAACCGGUGAAACUUCAGAAGCAGGCAGUUCAGCAAAAAAAGCUCUCACUUUUGAGCCUGUGAUCCCAAUUGAAUCAAACUCCAUUCUAGGCGAACCCAAGCUGAGCAAUGCGAUGAUUCUACCUCCGUUGGAACCUUGUCUCCAUGAAAAUUGGUAUGAACAGACUCUGGAGGAAGAUAGAGAAGACAUAAAUCUUACCACAUCAAAACCAAUCGACGAACAGCUCGAAUUCCCGAUGGAAGUGGUCAUGGAGUCAGGCGGAGACUUAAGGACCUUCCACAAUAACCAGGAGAACGAGUUGCUGGAGGAUGAGCUUAUGGAGGAUCCAGCUUUGCUUAAUAACAAUGAAACAAUUGAAGGCAUCGAUGAGGAAGACGAAUGGAUGAACGACGAUGAUCUCUUCGAUGAAGGGGAACUGGACGAACUUCUGAAAGAUGCUGACAGCCCUGCAAAGGAUCAAAAUGGAGAAGACCAGGAGAUGAUCAAUGAGCUCGCGAUCCCAGAGGCGAAUCCGCCGAAGUUCAAAGCUGCUUCCUGGUUUAGAUCCCCCGAAAACGCUGAUGUAGGGAAGAAACAGGCGGCGGAAACUGAUAAGAGCACCAGGGUGACCGGAAAAAAGAAACCGGCGCCGAGAUCGCCGGCGGCUCGCGGUUUGUCCCUGAAGAAGAGGAAUUUCCCUCUGGGUCGUGUCUCUCCAAAGACUAAGGGGAAAGGAAAAUUCCCAAAAACAGGUCUAGGCCCAUAUGCAGAUCAAGAAGAAAGCCCAAGGGAGAUAAGAGUUCUAAGGCCCAGAAGAAAAAACAGAACUCUGUAACCGGGGGGGAGGAAACCCAGAAACCGGUUAAACAUAACCCAUGAACGUGAUAGGCUGGAAUUGUCAGGGGGCGGGAGCCGACCUGACGAAGGAUCACCUAGAAGAAUUGCACCACUGUUUUUCUCCUCGUUUUUUAUUCUUAUCAGAAACUAAAAACAAUCGGCUUUUUAUUCAAGAUAUGCAAAUACAUUUUGGCUAUGACCAAGUCUGUACCAUUGAACCGAGAGGUCGUAGCGGCGGUCUAGCCCUUUUUUAUAUGGAUGAACCUUUAGUUGCUAUCUCCUAUUCGGAUGAACAUCUCAUUGAUGUAGAAACCAGUCUAGACGGACAUAAAAUUUUUUUAACGUUCGUUUACGGAGAUCCGGUCAUCAAAAACCGAGAAUACGUAUGGGAACGACUCACCCGAAUGAGUCUUUCCAGAAAAGAAGCCUGGUUUAUGAUUGGGGACUUCAAUGAAAUCUACGGAAACAAUGAGAAUCGGGGAGGAAGACGAAGACCGGAAUACUCGUUUAUUCCUUUCUGAACUAUGCUAGACAACUGUGGGAUGCUCAAAUUCUCGUUUAAAGGAAAUUCCUUCUCAUGGGUUGGAAGAAGACGUAACGGAAAGAUCAAGUGUCGUCUGGAUAGAGCGGUGGGGAAUGGAGAAUGGCAAUCUGCCUUCCCCCAUACCUCGGUGGAAUACCUUAAAUUAUGGGGUUCAGAUCACCGUCCUGUAUUGGCCCGCAUCCAAGUGGACAAUCGAAGAAAGAGGAAGUCUUUUAGAUUUGAUAAAGAUGGUUGGGAAAACCAGGAUUCAAAGAGGCGGUAAUCUCCGGCUGGGGCUCUUUGGAUGGAAUCCCACGUCGGGAUUUCCAUCGUAAAGUAGCAAACUGCCGGAUCAGUAUCUCUAGGUGGAGAAAGUCCCAAUUUUCUAAUUCCGAGAAGAUGAUAGAGGAACUCAAAAACAAAUUGGAUGCAGCCCAAGACGACGAAAACUCUACACUAGAAGAAGUUAAAGAGAUUAGAAGAAACCUUUGUAUUGCUCUUCGGGAGGAAGAAACAUUCUGGAAACAGAAGAGCCGUGAACAAUGGCAAAAAUCCGGGGAUAGAAACACAAAUUUUUUUCAUGCGCUCACAAAACAAAGGAGAAGCCAAAAUCGAAUCGUCGCUUUGAGGGAUAAAAAUGGGAAUUGGGUAGAAAAUUCACGAGGUAUUGAACGAGUAGCCUCCCAUUACUUCCAAGAUCUGUUCACCUCGUCACAACCCCCGGAACCAGAUAAUGCUCUCCGGUUUAUCACCAAGAAAGUAUCGGAGGCGUCUAACCAGCGCCUCAUUCAAGAACCCACAGAAGCCGAAAUUAAAGAAGCGCUUUUCGAUAUCAAUCCUGAUAAAGCCCCGGGACCCGAUGGAAUGACGAGCAAGUUUUACCAAAGAUUCUGGCAGGAGUUCCGCCACGACAUUGUAAAAUUAGUAAAAGAUUUCUUCAUAGCAGGAUCUUUUGAUCCCAGACUAAAUCAGACCAACAUCUGCCUGAUCCCCAAGAAAGAAAAACCUAGAGCUAUGACAGAAUUUUGUCCGAUAAGUCUAUGCAACGUGAGCUAUAAGAUUAUCUCAAAGCUCAUGUGUAAAAGACUUAAAAAAACACUACCUAACCUAAUUUCAGAGACCCAAUCGGCCUUUAUGGCUAGGAGGCUUAUCACUGAUAACAUUCUGUUAGCCCAAGAGAAUUUCCAUGCCCUUCGCAGUAACCCGGUUUGCCGAAAAAACUUUAUGGCCAUCAAGACCGACAUGAGCAAAGCAUACGACAGAGUGGAAUGGUGCUUCAUUAAAGCCUUAAUGAUUAAAUUGGGCUUCUCUGAGAGAUGGGUUAACCUUCUGAUGUUCUGUGUUUCAUCAGUAUCCUACCAAGUGUUGAUAAACGGAGAACCAAGAGGGCAUAUCACUCCGACACGAGGGUUAAGACAAGGAGAUCCUCUCUCUCCUUUCUUAUUUAUCCUUUGUACCGAGGCCCUGAUCUCUCUCCUAAAUGGAGCAGAAAGGGAAAACCGAAUCUCUGGACUAAAAAUAGCCAAGCAAGCCCUCCAGUCUCUUAUCUACUCUUCGCAGAUGAUAGUUUGUUCUUUUGCCGCGCAUAUAUCCAAUAAGGAACCGAGAUCUUCAAGAUCAUCAGCACAUAUGGCUCAGCCUCGGGACAACAACUAAACUUAGGCAAAUCAUAUAUUAUGUUUGGGAACCGAGUUGAUAUGACAUUGAAGCAAGGCAUAAAAGAUGCUAUUGGAAUAACAACAGAGGGAGGCAUGGGCAUGUAUCUGGGGCUCCCAGAACAAAUUUGUGGAUCAAAGAAGAAAGUCUUCUCUUACGUCCAUGAUCGACUUAGUACCAGAGUGAACUCCUGGUCUGCAAGACUUCUCUCCAAAGGUGGAAAAGAAAUUCAGAUUAAAUCGGUUGCCCAGACUGUCCCUACGUAUGUUAUGUAAUGCUUCCUUAUUCCCCAAUGUGUGACCGAUAAGUUACGGAGUGUCAUUGCUAAUUUCUGGUGGAGCUCAAAGCAGAAUAGCAAAGGGAUUCACUGGAUAGCUUGGGACAAGAUAUGCAUUCCCCAAGAUAUGGGAGGUCUAGGUUUCCGAGACCUUCAAGAUUUCAAUUUAGCCCUUCUAGCUAAACAGCUAUGGCGCCUUAUUCAAUACCCCUCGUCUCUACUGGCCAGGGUUUUACGAGGACGAUACUACAGAGAAUCGGAUCCGUUAGAGGAUCGUCGCGUCUACUCCCCAUCCUAUGGGUGGCGGAGCAUUUUAGCUGCAAAACCAUAUCUAAUGAUGGGACUGCGGAAAACAAUAGGGUCGGGUUUAAAUACAAGGGUCUGGAGCGAACCAUGGAUCCCGGAUACUAGAGCUUGACCGGUGAGAGCCACCCCGCAAAUCGGCUAUCAGGACCCGGGGUUACUUGUUUACUCCUUCAUCCGAUAAGAUACAAAGGAGUGGGAUGUUCCUCUUCUUAGGGUUUUCUUCCAACCAGAGGAUGUUUCCCUGAUUCUAGGAAUGAGACCUAGUCGCAACCGUUGCCCGGAUGGAUACGCAAGGAACCAUUCAAAAUCAGGACUCUAUUCGGUUAAGACGGGCUAUGACCUGAUUAGGAGGUCAAAAUUACAACGGGAACCUAAUAUGGUGGGGGAACCGAGCAUUACGGUAUUGCAAAGACAGGUGGAAAACCAGCUGCCCCGGCAAAAUGAAGCAUUUCAUGUGGCAAUCUUUGUCAGGAUAUGUGGCUACAUGUCAUAAUCUAACAUACCGACAUCUUGGAUCUGACACGAGCUGUCCCCGAUGUGGCGAUCCCGUAGAAUCUACAAAUCACCUCCUAUUUUUAUGUCCCCCGACACUUCAAGUCUGAGCGUUAUCGGACUUUCCGUCCCGUCCGGGCCUCUUCCCGAGUACUUCUAUUUACCAAAAUAUGAGCUUUCUCUUUUGGCAAACAAAAGAGUUAGGCAUGACGGAUCCUCAGAAGGAUUUAUACCCUUGGAUCCUAUGGUUCAUUUGGAAAGCAAGGAACGAAAAAAUCUUUAACGGGAAAUCAAUUUCCCCACAAGAUACCCUGAUCCACGCAAGGGUAGAAUCUGAGAGCUAGAGAAUGGCGAACCAACCAGAGGAAGCAAAGGAAGCAGAGGUCUCCUCUCGUCCCCAAAUACCUUCCCCCGCGAACCAACGGGUCCCAACAUGUUGGAUCGAUGCCUCGUGGAUUGAUCACGGACCUGUCAGUGGACUCGGGUGGAGCCUGGUGAACGCUGGGGAAGAGGAGCUGUUUGGUCAACAAGGAUGCCGCAGAAGCCUUUCCGUCCUUCAUGCGGAGAUGGAUUGUCUUUUGUGGGCUAUGGCAGCCCUGAGUCAACGACACAUAAGAGCGGUGCUUUUUCUGACCGACUGUUCUGAUCUAGUGAGUAUGACGGAUUCCCCAGCUGAUUGGCCGUCUUUUACGUCCGAGCUAGAAAAUCUACGUAUCCUUCGUGAGAACUUCUCAUAGUUUUCCAUCUCCCAUAUCCCGAUGAAUGAUAAUGUCCGGGCAGAUAGUCUUGCAAAAGGAGCCCGAGCAAAAGGACAAAUAUUCACCCACAUCGAUCAUAACGAGUCGGUUAAGGACGGUGCACAAAACCACCUCCAAGCCGGCCAACUGUGAUGUAAUAGUUUGGGUAGUCGACAAAAAAAAAAAAAGCUAAAGUGCUUUUUUGUUUUGUAGCAAAAGUGCUAAACUAUAAGUUUUUGUAUAUCAGUUAUAAAUUUUUGGAGAGCUAGUUUAGAGCAGCUCCAACAAUGAGCUCUACAAGAGCUCUUACGAGUUUUUGAGUUAAAAAAAAUGUUUUAAUGUCAAAAAUGUUCAGAACCGUCACUUAUUUGAGAGUUUUCAGAAUCCCAUCAGAACCCCAUCCGUGUCAGCUCGUGAUUGGUUGGCGUUUUUAUAUUUUUUUUGUUUUUUUAAUUAGAAGACUGUUUGAAUUAGAGUCUUUCUCUUUUUUUUUUAUAUCCAUUUUCUCCUUCUGAUUUGUCUCAACUUGGUUCUUCAGUGAUGUAUACUCAAACAGAGAAAACACAAACCUACUCUCUCUAACAGAGAAACAUAAAAGGUUCUUUAGAGCAUCCUCAAUGCAGAGACCCUUAUGGGAUUUUUUUAAUAUUAUUAUUGGAUUAAAAAUUUAGUUAAGAAACUAUUGAAUUUAUAAGGUCCAAUGCAGAGACCCAUAUGGGUUUUAAAAAAAAAAAAACAAUCUGUCACCGAGUUGACCACGUUAACGAGCAGACUCUUGAUCUUCAUAGCAGAAAUUGGUUUAGACAAAAGUGUGUUUAAACUUUAAAGCAAAGAACAUUGGGGAGUUGAAACAUUUGAUAAUAAUACCACAUUAAUAUCAUUCCAAACGAUUAUUCAAAGAACAUGACACCAUGAUAUAACUUAAUGAAAAAUACGUACAAAAAAAAAGAGAGAGACAGAGAUGUUACAUGUAGAGCUAUGUCAUGAGAAUGAUAUCGAUCAACAAGAAUUUGGUGUGAAUCUUCCGGAUUCAAAUAGCAGAAGUUUAUAGAUAUGUACCAGAAAAUAAGGCAGAGUGAUGAUGUUGGUGACGAGAAGCCAUUGAACACCAUAGCCAACAAAGCCCAUACCCGCCGCCGUGAAAAGAACGACGGAGAGAGGGAGAUAAUCUAGAGCGAUCCCAACGACCACCCGAACGCUUUUCCCAAUUCGGAAGCCACGGCAAGGUAAUUCAACCUGACCUGACAAAUCCCGAGUACUGAUUUGAGAUGGGAGGAGUAAGCUGAGAAAUUGAAAUUAGUCCUUGUUGAUGCCUGGAUCCAGAUUGCCGCCACGAGCACAGUCCAUUUCCGCCAGCGACAGAACAUGGUCACGAGAGGCGGCCUGACAGAGAAAACAAGGAGGGAAGACCGAAAAAAUCUGCAAUGGAAAAAAAGAGAAGGAAAAAGAUUUGUCCCCAUAUUCUUUAGCAAAUAAAAAAGAGACAUGUGGAUGAAGAGAUGAGGAAGAGACGUCUCCAAAUAAGAAACGUAUAUGAGAAUAAAGAGACCCAGUCCAGUUUUUUUAAUAUUAAGUUUCUUUAGAAACGCUCUUAUAUACCUCGUUAAUGAUGUUCUUAGCUAUAAUUAGAGCAGCUUCAAUGGUGAUAUCUUUUUGGGGUUCAUCUGGAAUUUUUUAUUCAUUUAAUUUGGAAAAAUGAAAAAUUUAGAACCCAACAAAUUUUUAUGUUCAAUGGUGAUUCCCAAAUUUUUUUCUGUUUACCGCAAAGCUCCAAAACGCACAGCUUCAUUUUUUUUCUUUUCAUCCAAUUAGAAGCUGCCACGUUGCGACAAACCCAGGUUCAUCAGCCUUUUAAGAGACAAGAUCAUCGAAUUUAUGGGCUUUUACAAUUUUUUUUGUGGUUUUUACCUAUGAAUUUGAGCCAUGGUAUCCUCUUGAACCUCCAUUGGAGGUGCUCUUACAGCCAACACGAUUCAUCCUCAAAUUGAUCCUUUUUACGGUGAGCAAUUGAGAAUACAGAGAUAUGUAAUAUUACCUAAACUCCUUUGACUUGUAUCUGCUGACUCAUAGAAAUGGAAAAAAAACAUUCAAGAAAAAAAGAGAAACCGAGAACACCCGAAACCGAGAACAUUUCGUGUCUAAUUCAAUCAUUCUAACCACCAAUCACAAACAACAACAAAGCCAAAAGCAAACAAACAAGGCUUGAUUCUCGGACAACCUAAUAGGUUCAACGAUAUCAAUGCAUCAACAGAGGCAAAAGUAAGGGUUUAGAUUAAUGGUACCUCUUUAAUAGACUCUUCCUAUGCUCGAUCGAUGACCAAUUGGCUUUUGUUUUUAAAGCCACAACACCGACGGAGAGGAGUCGCCGCCGCUUUGGACUACUGCAGAGAAGUUGCCGCCGCCUCGGAUGAUUGGAGCGGAGUCGCCGCCGCCUCGGACGCAUGGAAAGGACUCGACGCCGAAGCUUUUGUUGGAGACGAGUCGCAGUUCCUUGGAAUCGUCGAUAUCUUUACUUGCUUAGAAGUUAGAAGUGUUAGUUAGAGCAUCAUUAUCCCUGUAUACCAUAUAGGUUUCUUAGUUAAUUUUUAAUUAAUAAAUUUAGGUUAAGAACCUUUCUUAAAAAAUUAUGUUUUUUAUGCUUUAACGGUAGAAACCUUAAUGGGGUUUUGUAAUUAGACUUUUUGGAAAGUUUAUGGUUAUAAGUUGCAGAAAGGGUUUAUGGACUAUUCCAGCAACCUUUGAAAAAAUAUGCAUCCAAAAGGGAAACAAGAAGCAUACCGAUUUCAUCCUAGCGGCUGUGUUGGCAAUAUCAAGAGUUUCAGUAUCUCGCUUCACUCCAUACGUUUUCAUCACAGCAGCAUCAGAGAAUUCACUCAGCGGAAUCAGAGCUGAAAUGUUUACAACACAAAACCAAGAGUAACUGGAAAAACAACAAUUAACGUUGACCAAGAAGAAGCAAUAGGCUUUAUCAUGUUCCAGAGAAAUGAAGAAAGAGUUCAUAAAAACACAAUCAAAUAAUAGCUACUGAAACAGAUUCUUUCGAAUCUUAAUCAAGCAAUUGUAGGUUUAACAGAAAAAAAAACAGGGUAAGAUAAGAAGCAGACACUAAAUCCUUCAAAAAGAUCAAUCAAUCAUCGAUCUCUAAACAAAUUCAGGAGAGAAAUCGAACCAGUAUCAAAAAAUCAAAACAAUUUAGAAGCCUCCAUACUCUUUGGUGGAGUAGCGGAAGAUUAGUAACCUAGGGACUAAGAGAACUUGAGGAGAACUCUGGAUGAAAUAAGGUUUUGUUCUAUUCGAGACAGAGAUCGAACAAAACAGAGGUCGAGAGUGCUCCUCUCAGCGCUAAGCAAGGCAAAGCUCUUUGGGAAAUUUAGAUUUCCUCUUUUUGGUUUUUUUAUUGAUUUUCUUAGAAGCAAAACGUGAAUCAAAAACAAAGACUCGACUACCUUAUAUAGCUGCUAACAAAGCCCUAAGCCAUAGGAAUUCCUAAACAAAAAGGAAAAGUGCUUAAACCGUCAAAGAAAUAAAAAGGAAAAAACACAACUUGAAAGACACGUAAACAACAAAGCCAAAAGACGUAAGAAACUUCUAAACAGAUAAGGAUGCUCUGCAUCAGGUCCCCUGGGUAGAAGAGGAUUCGCCCUCGAAUCUGGAAUGUCAUUUUCACCAUGAUACCGAAAUAUGUGCUUAACAUUAAACACAUCAGCCGUGCGAAUGUCUGGUGGAAGACGGACACGAUAUGCAUUAGCGUUAAUGCGUUCAACAAUCUCAAGAGGGCCAAGCUUCCGAGAACGCAGCUUGUUGUACUCACGAGCUGGAAAUCGUUCCUUCGUUAAAAUGACCCACACCAUAUCACCUGGUUGAAACUCGACUUCCCGACGAUGUGUGUCUGCUUGUGCUUUGUAAGAUGCUGUCGCCGAUUGCAAAUUUUGUUGAGUUUCCUGAUGAAUGGUUUGAACAUUUUCCACAAAAUCAAUUGCCUGACCAUGAAGACGAACGCGAUCUGGAAGUGGCGCAAGAUCUAGUGGACAUCGCGGAAUUACGCCAUAAACAACCUUGAACGGACAAAACCCAGAACUCCGAUUACUAGCGUGAUUGUGAGCAAACUCGGCGAGACAAAGCUUGCUGUCCCAUGAUUUGAGAUUUUUGCCGACCAAACUGCGAAGCAUGUUUCCUAAAGCUCUGUUAGUAACCUCUGUUUGCCAUCGGUUUGAGGAUGAUAUGCGAUACUCAUAUCCAGACUAGUGUGGAGCAGCUUCCACACAGAACGCCAAAAGUGACUUAGAAAACGUGUAUCCCUGUCUGAUACAAUGGAAGAGGGCAAGCCAUGCAGGCGAUAUACCUCAGUAAAGAAUAAAGAGGCCACUUGAAUAGCGUCUGUCGUUUUCUUACAAGGUAUAAAAUGGGCCAUCUUCGAAAAGCGAUCCACAACAACAAAGAUGGAAUCAAAACCUCUUUGAGUACGAGGUAAGCCAAGAAUAAAGUCCAUGCUGAUAUCAGUCCAUGGCUGAGUCGGAACAGGGAGAGGCAAAUAUAAACCAGCAUUCGAAGCAGAACCUUUAGCUUGCUGGCAAGCCCGACAGCGUUCAACAAAUCGCACCACGUCACGCCUUAAGGAAGGCCAAAAAUAAGAGGUUGAUAUCAACUGCAAAGUACGAUCCCUCCCAACAUGUCCUUCAUCAUGCAACUCCUUGAUAAUACGCAGCCGUAAACUGCAAUCAGGAUACACAACUGAUUUUCCUUGAACAAGAAGCAAUCUUGGAGAGAAAAAUCGGACGUCGUACCACUGUUCACGUCACCAAGAACGCUCGCAAAGUAAGGAUCCGAACAAUAUAGGUCAGCAAAGGAGGAAAACCCAGGCACAGACGUGUGCAUAGUCGUCACUAACGCAUGACGCCUGUUCAAAGCAUCAGCGACUCGAUUAAGAUUCCCUGCUUGAUGUCGAAUAGUAAAUGUGAAUUGCUGUAGAAAGGCAAUCCAAGUAGCAUGACGAGAGGACACCUUUGCUUGACUAUCCAAGUGUUUAAGCGCAUCAUGGUCCGUAAAUAGAAUGAACUCACGGUGAAACAAGUAAUGACGCCAAUGCUUUAUUGCCUGCACCACGGCAUAGAAUUCAAUAUCAUAAGUACUAUAGCGAAUCCGUGCACCCGAAAGUUUCUCACUAUAGUAAGCAAUGGGACGACCCAAUUGACUUAACACAGCACCAAUCCCAAGUUUAGAAGCAUCACUGUGAAGUUCAAAGGCUUGCGUAAAAUCUGGUAAAACAAGAAUUGGAGCAGUAGUAAGUUUUUCCUUUAUCGUCGCAAACGCAGAUGAAGCUUCUUUGGUCCAAGCGAAUUUGCCAGCUUUCAUACAAUCAGUGAUGGGUGCCAUGACAAUACUGAAAUGAGGAACGAAGCGCCGGUAGAAUGAAGCAAGACCGUGGAAGCUGCAAACCUCCGUUAAGGAGCGUGGUUCUGGCCAAGUACGCACGGCUUCGACCUUACUGCUAUCUACGGAAAGGCCAUCUCUAGAGACAACAUAUCCCAAAAAAAGAACAUGAUCAGCUCCAAAUUCGCACUUCUGUUUGGCGACAUAAAACUGAUCGCGACGUAAAACCUCCAAAAUACUACGUAGGUGCCGUAGGUGUUCUUCAAGAGACGAACUGAAUAUCAAAAUAUCGUCAAAGUAAACGACGACAAACUUUCUGAUGAAUGGUCGUAAAGCUUGGUUCAUCACACGCAUGAAAGGAAAAAACACAACUUGAAAGACACGUAAACACCAAAGCCAAAAGACGUAAGAAACUUCUAAACAGAUAAGGAUGCUCUGCAUCACUCUUUGAUUAAACAAACCCAGGAGAAAUUAGAAUCAAAAUCAACAAAUAAAAACAAAAUCAGAAGAAAGUUCUCGCUUACCCUAGAAAUUGUCUAGGAAAUCCUGAACCUUCGAUGCCGUCAGGGAGAGGAAACAAAGAAUUCAUCGCCUUCAAGAGCCCGGAGGAGACGAGCAUGUCGACAGAGAUAUGGUCGGAGCAAACGAAGAGUCGUCGUCCAAGGAGAAGCGAAAUGGUUCGGGGAAGAAAGAAAGAAUAAAAAAAU
RNAcentral lists this long non-coding RNA (12963 nucleotides) under Eutrema salsugineum. Its description in RNAcentral is "long non-coding RNA (ESAL_LNC001925)". The record is from RNAcentral. Lineage: Eukaryota; Viridiplantae; Streptophyta; Magnoliopsida; Brassicales; Brassicaceae.